UACGGGGGGAGCAAGCGUUGUUCGGAUUUACUGGGCGUAAAGGGCGCGUAGGCGGCGCAACAAGUCACUUGUGAAAUCUCCGGGCUUAACCCGGAGCGGCCAAGUGAUACUGUCGUGCUAGAGUGCGGAAGGGGCUACUGGAAUUCUCGGUGUAGCGGUGAAAUGCGCAGAUAUCGAGAGGAACACCUGCGGCGAAGGCGGGUAGCUGGGCCGACACUGACGCUGAGGCGCGAAAGCCAGGGGAGCGAACGGG
Molecule: ribosomal RNA, 253 nt
Filed under: uncultured bacterium
Lineage: Bacteria
Description: partial 16S ribosomal RNA
Rfam family: Bacterial small subunit ribosomal RNA
Source: RNAcentral